CGUAGGGUGCGAGCGUUGUCCGGAAUUAUUGGGCGUAAAAGAGCUCGUAGGCGGUUUGUCGCGUCUGCUGUGAAAACCUGAGGCUCAACCUUGGGCUUGCAGUGGGUACGGGCAGGCUAGAGUGCGGUAGGGGAGAUUGGAAUUCCUGGUGUAGCGGUGGAAUGCGCAGAUAUCAGGAGGAACACCGAUGGCGAAGGCAGAUCUCUGGGCCGCUACUGACGCUGAGGAGCGAAAGCAUGGGGAGCGAACCAGGA
This 254-nucleotide ribosomal RNA is filed under the name uncultured prokaryote. RNAcentral's name for it is "partial 16S ribosomal RNA". It matches the Rfam family "Bacterial small subunit ribosomal RNA", at positions 526 to 778 of the family's 1533-position model. The record is from RNAcentral.